This 249-nucleotide ribosomal RNA is filed under the name uncultured Actinomycetales bacterium. RNAcentral describes it as "partial 16S ribosomal RNA". It matches the Rfam family "Bacterial small subunit ribosomal RNA", at positions 82 to 334 of the family's 1533-position model. Lineage: Bacteria; Bacillati; Actinomycetota; Actinomycetes; Actinomycetales. The record is from RNAcentral.
CGGAGGUACUCGAGUGGCGAACGGGUGAGUAACACGUGGGUGAUCUGCCCUGCACUCUGGGAUAAGCCUGGGAAGCUGGGUCUAAUACCGGAUAGGACCGCACUUUAGUGUGUGUGGUGGAAAGUUUUUUCGGUGUAGGAUGAGCCCGCGGCCUAUCAGCUUGUUGGUGGGGUAAUGGCCUACCAAGGCGGCGACGGGUAGCCGGACUGAGAGGUUGGUCGGCCACAUUGGGACUGAGAUACGGCCCAG